This 424-nucleotide ribosomal RNA is filed under the name Verrucomicrobiota bacterium. Its description in RNAcentral is "Verrucomicrobia bacterium partial 16S ribosomal RNA". It matches the Rfam family "Bacterial small subunit ribosomal RNA", at positions 355 to 776 of the family's 1533-position model. Lineage: Bacteria; Pseudomonadati; Verrucomicrobiota. The record is from RNAcentral.
UGAGGAAUAUUGGUCAAUGGGCGAGAGCCUGAACCAGCCAAGUAGCGUGCAGGAUGACGGCCCUAUGGGUUGUAAACUGCUUUUAUAUGGGAAUAAAGUGAGGGACGUGUCCCUUAUUGCAUGUACCAUACGAAUAAGGACCGGCUAAUUCCGUGCCAGCAGCCGCGGUAAUACGGAAGGUCCAGGCGUUAUCCGGAUUUAUUGGGUUUAAAGGGAGCGUAGGCUAUUUGUUAAGCGUGUUGUGAAAUGUAAGAGCUCAACUUUUAGAUUGCAGCGCGAACUGGCAGACUUGAGUGCGCACAACGUAGGCGGAAUUCAUGGUGUAGCGGUGAAAUGCUUAGAUAUCAUGACGAACUCCGAUUGCGAAGGCAGCUUACGGGAGCGCAACUGACGCUAAAGCUCGAAGGUGCGGGUAUCGAACAGG